Molecule: non-coding RNA, 1315 nt
Organism: Lupinus albus (white lupine)
Lineage: Eukaryota; Viridiplantae; Streptophyta; Magnoliopsida; Fabales; Fabaceae
Source: the annotation of a GenBank genome assembly
UUUAUCUCUUUUUUAUUUAUAUUUGUUUUUCCAUUCUUUAUUAUAUAAUAAAGAAUGGAAAAACAAAUAUAAAUAAAAAAAUAUAAAAUAAAAUAAUAAUAUAAUUUAUUCCAUUUUUUUAGUUUCUUUUUAGACAACCAGAGCAUGUCCAUGCCAAUACUUCUGGGCUCUUUUUGUUACCACGAAUCUUUGAAAACAAAGAUUUAGUUGAAUGUAUUUCAUUUGAAAAAAAAAAAAAUACUUGUUAUUUAAACAUGAUCAAACAUAAAUAAAAAAAGACUUUUAAAUUCCUAAGAUCAAAAUGUCAUUUUUUUUAUUACUCCUUCGUUUUUCUAGUAAAGUAUCUAAAAAAAGAAACUGUGGAUUCUUACACAAUCAAUUUUUUGUUAUGGAUUAAGUAGUUUUGUCGAGAUGUAGAUGUAUCUGUCAAAACAAAACAUCUUCAGCUUCUGCAAAAACAAAAAAAUGAAAUUAGCUCUCUUUUCUUAAUUUCAUUUGGAGGUCCCCUUACAAAACAUGUCAACAUUCUAAUUAUUUCCUCCUAUUUAUAGUAUUCUUAAUUCAUUUUUAUUACUAAUUAUUUUAUCUUAUUUUUAAUUAAUUACGCUUAUGAGCCUAGUUCUUCAUUAUGACUGAUUCCCUUGUUCGACAAAAGGUGCAUUUAUAUGCAAUAAUUGCAUUGUAGCGGGUAUAGUUUAGUGGUAAAAGUGCGAUUCGUUCUAUAGAUCCCGUAAUAGUUAAGGGAUCCCGAGCAAAAACUUUAUUUCUUGCUUAAAGGAGUUUAGUUUACUCCUUUAUUCCUCUCAACAAAUGAUUCGGAGGAAUAUUUAAUAUACAUUAUCGUAAUUUGUAUCCAAAAAAAUCAAUUCUAAAUUGACAAAUUUAAUUUACAAAUUAUGAAACAUAACUUUUUGGAAUUGGAUCAAUAAUCCCAAUUUUUUGAGUAUGAGUAAAGGAUCCAUGGAGAAAGAUAUAGAAAGUUGAUUUCUAAUCGUAACUAAAUCUUCCAUUUUUUUAUUUGUUUUGGAUAGGAGAGAUUGAAGCAAAAUAGCUAUUAAACGAUUACUUUAGUUUACUAGAGACAUCAACAUUUUUUUAGCUCGAUGGAAAUUUUAUUCUUUUCCUAAAGAUUCUCUUAAAUAGAAAUAGAGAACGAAGUAACUAGAAAAAACAAAAGAUUGUUAGAAUACUCCUCUUCUAUAGGGAUCAUCUAAAAAGCAAGGUGUUUUAAAUGUAUUCAUACAGAAAGGCUGACAUAGAUGGUAUGGGUCCAUUUUUUUUUGUUGAUGUCUUCCAUCUCUUAAUUUAUUCCGUA